CUACGGGAUGCAGCAGUGGGGAAUAUUGCACAAUGGGCGCAAGCCUGAUGCAGCCAUGCCGCGUGUAUGAAGAAGGCCUUCGGGUUGUAAAGUACUUUCAGCGGGGAGGAAGGGAGUAAGGUUAAUACCUUUGCUCAUUGACGUUACCCGCAGAAGAAGCACCGGCUAACUCCGUGCCAGCAGCCGCGGUAAUACGGAGGGUGCAAGCGUUAAUCGGAAUUACUGGGCGUAAAGCGCACGCAGGCGGUUUGUUAAGUCAGAUGUGAAAUCCCCGGGCUCAACCUGGGAACUGCAUCUGAUACUGGCAAGCUUGAGUCUCGUAGAGGGGGGUAGAAUUCCAGGUGUAGCGGUGACAUGCGUAGAGAUCUGGAGGAAUACCGGUGGCGAAGGCGGCCCCCUGGACGAAGACUGACGCUCAGGUGCGAAAGCGUGGGGAGCAAACAGGAUUAGAUACCCGAGUAGUC
RNAcentral lists this ribosomal RNA (464 nucleotides) under uncultured bacterium. RNAcentral describes it as "partial 16S ribosomal RNA". It matches the Rfam family "Bacterial small subunit ribosomal RNA", at positions 339 to 795 of the family's 1533-position model. The record is from RNAcentral.